This 1080-nucleotide long non-coding RNA is filed under the name Heterocephalus glaber (naked mole-rat). RNAcentral's name for it is "lncRNA (ENSHGLG00000033383.1)". Lineage: Eukaryota; Metazoa; Chordata; Mammalia; Rodentia; Bathyergidae. The record is from RNAcentral.
UCUGGAACACUGACAGAGUGUUGGGUACAUACCGUGUAGUUAAAUAGCCCUUCUGUCAUUCUGGAGUCCCCGUUGCACUAGUGUGUUAAAAAUUAAAACACAAUUUGAUUGUAACUUAAACCUAAAAGCACAAGUCAUGAUUUACUGCAUUAAAAACAAUCAUCUGGGCUUGAUUAUCUUAGUAAGAUUUGGUAAUAAUGGCCAGUUCCUUUUAGUUUUAGAACAUCCACUGAUGACCUAAAUUAAAUACAUCUCUAAAAUGGGGCACUAAGAUACUAGGCUCCAAGAUUCAGUUUGAAGGAGAACUUAAAUGUAGUGGUUCUAACUUUUUCUCCAUACCAGCAGACUGUAUUAGAACAGUGGAAUGAAAAUACCAUUUUGUAUUAGUUAAAGGAAAGAAUUAGGACAUUCACACAGCCUGAAAAUGUGACCAUUAAACUGCAUAGAGGGGUUGGGAGUUAUGUUUACCACUAAUACUUUUUGUAUGUGAACUGCCCAGUUGAUUCUUGGUAAAAAGUACAUUAAAGACUUGAAUAGAAAUCCUUAAGACCCCCAUCUCUUAACAGAUAACACAUUAAGUAAAUAAGUAUUAUAAAUAUUAAAUUUUUUUCAGGUUAUGACCAGGUAUUUGUUAAGGGUUAUUGGCAGGGACAAAUAUGAUUAUGUUAAUGUUAGCUUAUGUUACUCAUUUACUAAGAAACAACAGGUUGCAACUCAUCUCAAACACAAAGAACAAAAUCAGCCUGACAUGAUAGAGUACUGCUUGAAUUCAUUAAUAGUACCACCUUGACAGUUAAUGCAGGCUACCAGAAUCUUAGCACAACUGAAAAUCCCUUUGCUAUUAUUAAACAUGUUUUGAAAUUAUAACCAUCCACGAUUUACUUUUUUCUUCAGACCGAUCAGAUGACUGCCACUGUAGCCUUUUGAAUUUGUAAGGCAAAAAAAUUUACAAUGUGCUUUUCCCCAGUACAUCAAACAGAUUUCAAAUUGAGUGCUGGCUUUAAAAACAUACUAUGGCAAUGCACUUGCUAGUACUACACACUUUGUACAAAGGAAAACAGGCAAGAAACUUAAGGAAAG